RNAcentral lists this ribosomal RNA (465 nucleotides) under Vreelandella stevensii. RNAcentral's name for it is "partial 16S ribosomal RNA". It matches the Rfam family "Bacterial small subunit ribosomal RNA", at positions 338 to 795 of the family's 1533-position model. The record is from RNAcentral. Lineage: Bacteria; Pseudomonadati; Pseudomonadota; Gammaproteobacteria; Oceanospirillales; Halomonadaceae.
CCUACGGGGGGCUGCAGUGGGGAAUAUUGGACAAUGGGGGCAACCCUGAUCCAGCCAUGCCGCGUGUGUGAAGAAGGCCCUCGGGUUGUAAAGCACUUUCAGUGAGGAAGAACGCCUGGUGGUUAAUACCCAUCAGGAAAGACAUCACUCACAGAAGAAGCACCGGCUAACUCCGUGCCAGCAGCCGCGGUAAUACGGAGGGUGCGAGCGUUAAUCGGAAUUACUGGGCGUAAAGCGCGCGUAGGUGGCUUGAUAAGCCGGUUGUGAAAGCCCCGGGCUCAACCUAGGAACGGCAUCCGGAACUGUCAAGCUAGAGUGCAGGAGAGGAAGGUAGAAUUCCCGGUGUAGCGGUGAAAUGCGUAGAGAUCGGGAGGAAUACCAGUGGCGAAGGCGGCCUUCUGGACUGACACUGACACUGAGGUGCGAAAGCGUGGGUAGCAAACAGGAUUAGAUACCCGAGUAGUC